This is a long non-coding RNA of Plodia interpunctella (Indianmeal moth), 816 nucleotides long. RefSeq lists it as uncharacterized. The record is from RefSeq and is a predicted model, not a curated record. Lineage: Eukaryota; Metazoa; Arthropoda; Insecta; Lepidoptera; Pyralidae. The transcript has 3 exons.
UCCAAUCAAUGAGGGCUGAGUGCUGUUACAAUAAUAAUCGAUGUGUAAAAUUUCAAUUAUACGGCGAUUUGUUGCCGGGUGUUCUGCAUCGAAUUGUCAUUUUGCGCUCAUCUGAAAUCAUGAGGCGGAAAAUGACCAAAAUUCAUAUUGGGCAGCGAGUGAAUUAAUCGGUAAGGAGAAGCAACGAAGCUCGUAGUGGAACUGGGCGUCUCCGUUGGGGUUCUUAUUGUAAAUAUGCAUUAGUGCGGAUGACGGCGGCACCCGGCCCUCAUUACGCGAUGUGCCGGCCGUCAAAGUCGUCGUCGAUCCGAACCGUGAGUGUCCCGGAUACAAGCCGCUCAAUUAUGUUAAUGGCUUCGUAGCAUUCUCUCGACAACAGUACUGCCUUCACCUGAUUGAUAUGCACCAGCUACGGCUAGCUAGAACUGUCGUUAAUACGCACUUAGGGGAGGUUUACGAUCCAAGAAACACGAUUACUAAGUUUACAAACAAAAUAAAUACGUAUUUCAUAGCGUCAAAAAUAAAUAGCUUACGGGCUUUGGUCUCAAAGGAAGAAAAGAUAAGAAUUUCAAGAUAUAACAGAUCGGGAUCAGAUGGCAAAAGAAAAGUCGCGGAAGAAAUACAGAAUUUCAUAGCCGUCAACGGCAAACGAAGUUCUCACCAGUAAAUACACAGAAUGCAAUUAUAGUAGCCCCGCAGAGCACCUAACUAUUUUAUUGUUCCGUUACGAGCAAGACCUCCCCUUAUAGUUUAUUACAUAAUAAAAGCACCUUUGGUGUCGGAUUAACACAUGGAAUAUAGUACUAAACCAUGAGA